This 248-nucleotide ribosomal RNA is filed under the name uncultured bacterium. RNAcentral's name for it is "partial 16S ribosomal RNA". It matches the Rfam family "Bacterial small subunit ribosomal RNA", at positions 333 to 598 of the family's 1533-position model. The record is from RNAcentral.
AGGGGCCUACGGGAGGCAGCAGUGGGGAAUAUUGCACAAUGGGGGAAACCCUGAUGCAGCAACGCCGCGUGAGUGAAGAAGUAUUUCGGUAUGUAAAGCUCUAUCAGCAGGGAAGAAGAUGACGGUACCUGAUUAAGAAGCCCCGGCUAACUACGUGCCAGCAGCCGCGGUAAUACGUAGGGGGCAAGCGUUAUCCGGAUUUACUGGUUGUAAAGGGAGCGCAGACGGCAGAGCAAGUCUGGAGUGAA